CCAAUCUUAGUGAGCCUGAAUUCGUUCACGGUCUCACGAAAUCUUGUAUUUAAAACCCGCUCAUAUAAAUAAAAACAUGUAGUAAUAUGAUAAUUAAAGA
This 100-nucleotide unclassified non-coding RNA is filed under the name uncultured Glomeromycotina. RNAcentral describes it as "sequence contains ITS1". Lineage: Eukaryota; Fungi; Glomeromycota. The record is from RNAcentral.